This 803-nucleotide ribosomal RNA is filed under the name uncultured bacterium. RNAcentral's name for it is "bacterial SSU rRNA". It matches the Rfam family "Bacterial small subunit ribosomal RNA", at positions 62 to 856 of the family's 1533-position model. The record is from RNAcentral.
UCAGGGAGAAGUCUCUUCGGGGAUGAUUAAACCGGCGCACGGGUGAGUAACACGUGAGUGACCUGCCUUUUAGACUGGAACAACUUACCGAAAGGUGAGCUAAUGCCGGAUGAGUUAUAUAAGUGCAUGUUUAUAUAGGAAAAGUUGGGGAGACCUGACGCUGAAAGAUGGACUCGCGUCCCAUUAGCUAGUUGGUAGGGUAAUGGCCUACCAAGGCGACGAUGGGUAGCCGGCCUGAGAGGGUGGCCGGCCACACUGGGACUGAGACACGGCCCAGACUCCUACGGGAGGCAGCAGUGGGGAAUUUUGCGCAAUGCUCGUAAGAGUGACGCAGCGACGCCGCGUGAAUGACGAAGGCCUUCGGGUCGUAAAGUUCUUUCGACAGGGAAGAAAAUGCCUAUAAGUAACUGUGUAUGUAUUGACGGUACCUGUAUAAGCAGCCCCGGCUAACUCCGUGCCAGCAGCCGCGGUAAUACGGAGGGGGCGAGCGUUGUUCGGAGUGACUGGGCGUAAAGAGCACGUAGGCGGUGUUGUAAGUCAUUAGUCAAAGACUAGAGCUCAACUUUAGUAAGGCUAGUGAUACUAUAAUACUAGAGUAUCAGAGAGGAUUGCAGAAUUCCUGGUGUAGCGGUGAAAUGCGUAGAUAUCAGGAGGAAUACCGUUAGCGAAGGCGGCAAUCUGGCUGGAAACUGACGCUGAGGUGCGAAAGCGUGGGUAGCAAAUAGGAUUAGAUACCCUGGUAGUCCACGCUGUAAACGAUGGAUGCUAGGUGUUGGGCUUUUAAGUUCAGUGCCGCAGCAAAC